UACGUAGGGGGCAAGCGUUAUCCGGAAUUACUGGGUGUAAAGGGUGAGUAGGCGGCAUGACAAGUAAGAUGUGAAAGCCCGUGGCUUAACCACGGGAUUGCAUUUUAAACUGUUGAGCUAGAGUACAGGAGAGGAAAGCGGAAUUCCCAGUGUAGCGGUGAAAUGCGUAGAUAUUGGGAAGAACACCAGUGGCGAAGGCGGCUUUCUGGACUGAAACUGACGCUGAGGCACGAAAGCGUGGGGAGCGAACAGGAUUAGAUACCCUGGUAGUCCACGCCGUAAACGAUGAGUGCUAGGUGUCGGAGGGGAACCUUCGGUGCCGCAGCAAACGCAAUAAGCACUCCACCUGGGGAGUACGAUCGCAAGAUUGAA
RNAcentral lists this ribosomal RNA (372 nucleotides) under uncultured bacterium. RNAcentral describes it as "bacterial SSU rRNA". It matches the Rfam family "Bacterial small subunit ribosomal RNA", at positions 524 to 898 of the family's 1533-position model. The record is from RNAcentral.